RNAcentral lists this ribosomal RNA (253 nucleotides) under uncultured prokaryote. Its description in RNAcentral is "partial 16S ribosomal RNA". It matches the Rfam family "Bacterial small subunit ribosomal RNA", at positions 525 to 777 of the family's 1533-position model. The record is from RNAcentral.
ACGGGGGGAGCAAACGUUGUUCGGAAUCACUGGGUUUAAAGGGUGCGUAGGCGGCCCUGUAAGUCAGUGGUGAAAGCCUCCAGCUCAACUGGAGAACUGCCAUUGAUACUGCAGGGCUUGAGUACAGACGAGGUUGGCGGAAUUGAUGGUGUAGCGGUGAAAUGCAUAGAUACCAUCAAGAACUCCGAUUGCGUAGGCAGCUAACUAGGCUGUAACUGACGCUGAGGCACGAAAGCGUGGGGAGCGAACAGGA